GCUGGUCAUCUGUACCACUUUCUCGAUGGCCGUGUAGCCAGCCGCCAUGAAGUGCUCUGUGUACUGCUGCAUCUUAAUAGACUCCAGCCACUCGGACACCGUGCGGAAGGGCACCCCCUCGGAGCCGCUGGUGCUGGGCAGCCGGAUGGACACCCUGGAACGGGAACCACCCACCUGCAGGCAGCAGCACAGUGGAAGUGGUCAGCCUCCACCUCUACUGCUGUUCCUCUGAUCCCACCGGUAAGACCACUGUCAGGACCCCAAAUCACUAAGUGCGAGGAGCAGAGACUCAGGGUCCUGGGGUCACAACCCCAGCCCGGCCACUCACCAGCCACAAGAGAGACUUAGCCCCUGUGUCUGUUCCUCAUCUACCAGGGAUGAUUUCAGGACCUCUCUGGGAGGAGGUUCUGAUGACUUAAAACACGUCAAGUGCGGAGCAGCGGCAGCACAGGUCCCAGGAAGCUGGUGUCUCCCGCCAGUUAGACACCCCGCCACCUCCACGGGAAGCCCAAGCAUGACUUCUGAGCCCCCUCGCCGCCCCGACUCCCCCAGCUGCUACACCCAAGUGGCUCAGGAGACCCCAAGAGUGAAGCUGGGGGUCACCACGGGCCAAGGACGUGGGACUCACCGGGGGUCGAAGUCAGCCAGGGUCUUGAGGGAGUCGGGGGCUCGGAUGAGCUUGUCGAGGAUGCUGACGAUGUCGGCGAACUUGGGGCGGCGGGUGCGCUCCUGCUGCCAGCACUGCAUCAUGAGCUGGUAGAUGGCGGACGGGCAGUCCAUGGGCGUGGGGAGCCGGAAGCCGUCGUUGAUGGCUUUCAUCACCUGGGUGCGAAAGGAGGGUCAGGGUGGCCCCGCAGGAGCCACAGGGAUCGGGGCACAGAGGUAGGGAGGGGAGGGAGGGAGCCCCAGAGGCAGACGGGACGGACCUCCUUUGUUAGGUCCAACGCCACCCUCAGAGCCACACACGGGCCAGGGGCCAGGGGCUGGCUCCAGAGCGCCGGGGAGGAGGUCCUGCAGCCCACCGUGCGCCCGGCGGCCCGGCUCCCCUCUGGACGUCCCCUGGCGAGGGUGCUGCUCCUCACCAGGCCCGGGUCAGAAAGCAGGCUCGUGGACACACAUGCAGACGCACGUGCGAGUGCACACCCCACCUCCUGCUCCUCGUCAGCCGGACCACAGCCCCCCUCUCCGCUGCCUGGGCCCCAGAACUUGGGGCUGGCGUUCGGUCAGCCCGGGGAGGCCGCCCACCUCGUGGUUGGACAGCUCCCAGUAGGGCCGCUCGCCAUAGGCCAUCACUUCCCACAUGACGAUGCCGUAGCUCCACACGUCGCUGGCCGAGGUGAACUUGCGGUAGGAGAUGGCCUCAGGGGCCGUCCAGCGGAUGGGGAUCUUGCCGCCCUGCAGCGGAGCCGGGCCCAGUCACUGCUGUCCCCUCUGGCCAGGCCUUGGGGCAGAGUGAAGGCAGAGCAGUCCCCCUGCCCACAGGGACGGCCCGCUCCCCACUCACGCUGGUGGUGUAGGUGGCCUCGGGGUCGUCCUCCAGCACGCGGGACAGGCCAAAGUCGGACACCUUGCAGACCAGGUUGCUGUUGACCAGGAUGUUGCGGGCGGCCAGGUCGCGGUGCACGUAGUUCAUGUUGGCCAGGUACUUCAUGCCCGACGCAAUGCCCCGCAGCAUGCCCACCAGCUGCAGCACGCUGAACUCGCCGUCCUUCUCCUGCUCGGGCACAGCCCUCAGCUGCCACGGGGCCCCGAGCCCAGCAGGGCACCAGGCCCAGCUCCCUUGCCCACCGCUGCCCAUGUCCUUGCCCGCCAGCGCCCGCAUCCUUACCCGAAGGAACUUGUCGAGAGCCCCGUUCUCCAUGUACUCCGUGAUGAUCAUCAUGGGUUUGUCUGCGGGGCGUUGGCACAGGCGUGAGGCAGGCAGACCAGGCGUGGGGCGAGGUGGGCGCAGCUGUGGGCAGCCCCUCUGCCCCCAACCUGUGUCAGGCCCCUAGGGUCCCCCAAGCCUCACAUUUGGAGACGACGCCCUCCAGACGGAUGAUGUUGUGGUGGCUGAACUGGCCCAUGAUGCUGGCCUCGCUCAGGAAGUCCACACGCUGCUUCUCGGUGUAGCCUGCCUUCAGGGUCUUGAUGGCCACGGGCACCUCCUUCUUCCCUGAGGACGCCUUCAGGGUCCCCUUGUACACCUCCCCAAACUCUCCUGUGGGUGGGCGGGGGAGCCCGGUCAGCCUGGGUGCCGGGCAGCUCCACCCGGAUCACCCGGCGACAGGCGCUCCGGCUCACCUGCUCCGAUCACCUUCUGCCGGGUGACGCAGGACGGGUGGAUCUCGGUGGUGAACUUGAGCACGGCCUGGUUGGGGUCUUCGUAGGUGUGAGGGUCCACAUAUGUCUUUAGGGGCUUCAGCUGCUCUGGAAGGGGAAGAAGGGCAGGGUCACAGGCAGCUGGGGAGGGGCCCCUGGGAGGCGAGGCCCCUCGAGGAGGAGGAAGAAGCCCCUGAUCAGGCGCCUGGGAGAUGUGGGCCGGGCUGUGGGGCCGGGCCCUCUGGCAGAGCCCUGCGAGCUGCCCGGGGCGCCCUGCCGGCCUCGCCCCUGCCCCUGAGGGUGCUGGGAGGCGGGGCCGUGGCUCACCUGACUUGGAGAAGUAGACGUCCUCCGAGGGCUGGCGGCCGCGCAAGCUCUUCCUCCUGAAAGAACCCACGGGCCCCGACCUGGGUCAGCGGGGCCUGCCCGGGCCGGGGGACCACCUGCAGGGCACCGACCACGCUCAGUGCCCCGCUCAGCCUCUGCUCUGGGGCAGGGGGUGCGGGAGCCAGAACAAAUGCCAGCCAGGACACAGGCUUUGGCAUCUGCCCCAUCACGGCCUGUAAGCGGCCACAGAGAGGCUGCCCUCACCAGGGGGCCAGGCCUCCUGCAGAGGUAACGCCACGGGGUCCUGAGCCCCCCGUGGUGCCAGGCGUUGCUCAGCCAGUCUGCUCAGCACACCCCCACCUCACCCGGGGCCAGCGACCGGGCUGGACUGGAAUCCUACCUGCGGUGGAUGAAGAGGCCGAUUCCUGCCAGGACCAGCAGCAGGGUCACGCCCACGGCCACGCCGCCAAUCACUGCCAUGCUGCCAGGACCUUCUGUGGCUGCUGGAAAGACCAGCUGAUGACAGGAAGCCCCCCACCCAAGUCGCACAGCCCCGCCCCGCUGUACCCAGGACACGGGGUCUCCUUUGAGCUGGGGUUUGCUCCUGAGGCCCAUCCCGGGCCUCCCUGUGGGCCUCACGGCAGGGAUGGUCUGGGGUGGGGACUCCACUCUGGCUCCGUCCCUAGCGCACAAUCUGAACUCAGGUCUGCCAACGCCAGAGCCCCUAGUGCGGCUCUUUCUCAGGACACUCCUGAUGUGCCUCCCUGGUCUACGUCCCACUGCAACUCUGCCCUCUCCCCACGAGGGGACAGUCCACGCAGGGCCGUCCCAGGCCCCGCUGACCAGGAGACUGGAGUUUCUCAACUUGGAUCCGCCCCCCACCCACGUCCUGAUGGCUCAGUUUCAGAGCCUUGGGGGGACAUGUGCCCGGGACCCUCAACUCACACAGCGUCUGGAACUCGUGCACCUUGCUGCCAGCCCCCUGGCCCUCCUGCGUCAAUGCCUGCACCUGGACCAGGUAGGUGGUGUCCGGAGCCAGGUCGUCCAGGGUCACAGAGAAGCCCUCCGUGCGGCGCACGUUGUAGCUGUUGGAGUCGCCCUGUGGGUGGGCGGGCGGGGCAGGCGGUGAGGCCAGGGCAGGGCCUCAGCUCAGCGCCCCCGAGACACCCCUCCAGCGAGCUGGUCCUGGUCAGCAACUGGAGGCUCUUCUUACAGAGGAAGACACUGAGGCUCAGGGAAGCGAGCUGACUCGCUCAAGGUCACAGUGAGGCCAGAGCCAGGACUCCCCCCAGGGCUGUCCGGUCCCGAGACCCUGCCUUCCCCGCCCCACUGCUGCUUCCAGGAUCCAGAGCACGCCCACGGUCACUGCCGAGGUGCCCUGGGAGCCCCUCCGCGGCGAGGCUGUGAGCAUCUAUGUGGCCAGCCCACCGCUGGUCCUGGGCCCGGCCGGGGCCAGCACAGACCCCUCAGCGAGCUACCUUCUUGCGCCACCACCCUGGCACUCACCUGUCUGGUUGAUGCUGACGCUGGCGGUGCGGAAGCUGCGGCUGGUCACCAGGCCCGAGACACCGUUGCGGGCCUCGACAGCGAAGGUGUAGUUCAUGUGGGGCUCCAGGUCACUGACGGUCACGCUGGUGCGCGUCAGCGCGUGGGGGGGCUCUGAGUAGCGCACGCUGGCCUCGCAGGGCCCGCACUCGCCGGACUCUGGCCAGCACUGUUCGCAGGUGACACUGUAGAUGAUGUCUUCGCGGCCCCCGCUGUCCUGGGGGGGCGUCCACCGCAGCUCCACGUUGGCGCCCAUGCCCACGGCCGUCAGGGCAUGGACAGCGGGUCCUCGGGCGCCCGGAAGUAGCCCUCCUCGCACUCGCAGGAGCUGGCACCCUCGAGGGACGGCAGCGUGUGUGCUGGGCACGGCAAGCAGAGGCUGUCGGAGGCCUCGGACUUGAAGAAUCCCGCACAAGCCAAGAGCUUGGGCACAGGGGGCUGGGGACACGCAGCAGGACCACGGAGGCCCAGGACCAACGCCUGAUCUGUGCAGAGCUCGGACCCCCAAGGACAGUGAGCAUGCAUGAAGCGCCCACUGUGUGCAGGGUCUGGGCCAAGCACGUCACAUCCGUUCGGUCCUCACAGCACAGCGUGUUAGGCACGGCCACCAAUACACACCUCAUUCUUCAGGAACGCCCCGAUUUGGAGUUAAGAGAAACCAGCGCUUUGCAGUAAGCCCAAAGAGAGAGGAGCCGAGGCCUGACCUGCAGCAACAGCCAGAAAAUUCCAGGACUCAUUUCGGAUCCCCUCCCAGGGAAGAGCGCAGUGUGUGUGGAAGAGCACAGAGCCCAUGCCAGGGGGCGGGGGGAUUAGCUAAAGUGGCCCCCUGGAGUCCCAAAUGUCUUUGAAAGUCUCCUGUUGGAUUUAAGAAAUCCAUGUGCAUUUCCAAUCUCCCCCUCACAUACACAGAGCUCUCUCCUCCCCCAAAUCUUCAAGUUUAAAAAAUGAGACUCCGGGAAGCCCAACUCCCCAGCUCUGACCUGACCACUGGGACCCGGGUAAGCUGGAUCCAUGGUCCAGGUCCGGGGGGUAGGGGCCUGGGGCUGUGGGCCUGGCCCCCAGAACCACAGCCACCCCAGCCCUGGCUCGCCCGCUAGCGAGUGCACCCCAAGCCCCCAGCUCAGGCCCCAGACACCUGCAAACCCCCAGCUGCCCCAACUGGCCACCCUGUGCUCCCAAGCCCCUCACCCGAGGCCAAGAGGAGGAAGUGGGGGAAGAGAUGGGUUCCAUUCUCUGGCUCCAAAGCCUGGGGGUGGCCUGCCUGCUGCCGGCAGGAAAGAGGGAAUUUGGAGAGAUUUCCGCUGCGGAUGUGCCAGAUAAUACAGCAGAGAGGCGGCGGCAACAGGGCAUGUGCGUGCCUGACCAGAAUGUGCUGCCCCUCCUCCAACCCCAAGGGCCAGGAUCUCCCUGGGCUGGCGGGGAGUCUGCACGGGUUGGGGUCCCAGAAUUCAGGAGUAGGACACCGGCAAGCUGCAACCUGGCAUUCUGGCAGGCGAGGGGGGAGAAAAUCACACACACAAGGGCACCCACGCCCACCAUCCCUAGGCCAGCCAACGAACUCCUAUGCAUCCUUCAGUACCCAGCUUAAGCUCCUCCGCACAGCCUUCCCAGACUGGCUGCCCCUGGCCCCCGCGGGCCCCAUUAAGGCAUCUGUUACUCAACCUCAUGUUUACCAAACAAGAAAGGAGUGCGUCCUACGGGUCUGGCACAGUGCUGGGGACGGGAGAGGGUGAUGACACAGAUAAACAUCUUUCAAUUCCA
Sciurus carolinensis (gray squirrel) is the source of this 5934-nucleotide long non-coding RNA. RefSeq lists it as uncharacterized. Lineage: Eukaryota; Metazoa; Chordata; Mammalia; Rodentia; Sciuridae. The transcript has 6 exons. The record is from RefSeq and is a predicted model, not a curated record.